GUCUGCACCACCAAGGGAAGGAAGGGAGGAGCUCUGCUGGCUUCCUGUGAGUGCCUGUGUGCAGGGUGCCUGGGACAAGACCAAAUGGGGCCCAGAGGGGACCUGAGCACCUGGAAGGCAGGAGCCUGGGGAGGGAAUAAGGUAAACUGUCCCAGGUGGGCUCAGGGUGUCACAGAGGGGCAGGGCUGGAGGGGAGCCCUUUUCAUGGGCCCAGCUAGAUGGGCCAGUGUCCUCCAGGACCAGGUGGCCCAUGCUCCCCUGGAUGAACAGUAACCCAAGCUUGCCACAUGCACAACAGAGACCCCAGUUAAACCAGAGGGAACCAGCACCAAGAGGAGGAGGAGGAGGAGCCAGGGGGUCAUGCCGCUCCUGGCUCCCAACCUGUCCUUCCUUUCCAAACACUGGAGUCCAACCCGCCCCGCCCUGUCCAACCUCCAGAUGGCAGCUUUAAGGCUCUGGGAGCAGGUGGGAAAGCCGAGAGGGUCUGCUCUGCCCUUCCCCUGGUCUGGCGUCUGGAGCAUUUGGGGCCAGUCACCCCUAGCAAGGCCACAGGAUGGCAUCCAGUGGAGGUGCUCCCUCCAUGGGCAUUGCCACAUAGCCUCAGUCCCCCGCUCAGUUGUCAGAGCAGGGCUGGGAGACAGCACAGCCUUCGCAGGCCUCAGGCAAAUCAGCCAGUGGCUUGUCAGGUGGCCCCUCGGCCCACAUCAAGCCACCCUCUCUAGGCGGGGGUCUCCCUCUACCCUGAGCCAUGUAAGCAUGCAUGGCUCAGCAGGAAGCCAGGUGGGCCUCACCCCCAGGAGCCUGGGCUCUGUUCCCUACAGGGUCCAAGGAAUCAGGCCCAGGCCAGCAGCAACAUGCCCGUAGUUUCAGAUUAUGCAAUGGUGUGGGAGCUUGCACCCCACUUCCUAGAAAGUGCCCCCAGGCCACCAGGUACCUGGAGCCUCUCCACGAGGAAGGGGUCAGGCAGCCAGCCCAAGGCAGAUGCUCAGAGAACAGAGGUCCUUGACCUCAGACCCGGCACCUUGCACCAGACUCAGGAUUCCUGAGAAACUGUCUGGGAGUCCUACUUCCAUGUCACCUGAGCUCUGUGCACUCAGCAGCAGCAGGUGGACACAAUAGGUCUACAAGACCCAGCCAGUGUUGCAGAUCUGCCAGUGUGCACAGGUCCCCCCGCCGCAGCUCAUGCUGCCUGCCUGUGCUAGCAGCCCUGGCCGUGGCCCCUCAGGCACGUCUGGGCAGUGCCUGCGCUCUGUGGAGCAGGAAGACCUCAUCUGGGGCUUGUGAGGUCCCAGAGAAACAGAAGUAGCUGCUUCUGUUUCAUGAGUGAGGAGGUUUAGAGCACCUGCCGAACCCCUGCUGAGAGGGCAGCCCCCAGGACUGUUCUCCCCAGCACCUGGGAGGAGAAGGGAGCUGUCCUCAUGCCACAGUUCAGGCUCGGGCCCCCUCCCCUGGACACAAAAUACCUGGUAGGCCGAGCUGCCACUGCUGCCCUCCCUCCCAUGACCCUCCCUCAGACAACAGACUCUCCCUCUGUCCCCUCACUGAACACAUUUUUGGGGAAAGAGGCUUAAAUUCACUCACAGCAAGGUGUCAAGGACUGAUAAAGUCCAAGGACGUUUCAAAAACAGCCCAAAGCUGGACACAAUGGAACAUUCCUGUAAUCCCAGGGACUUGAGAGGCCAAGGCAGAAGGACCACAAGUUCAACACAAGUCCAGCCUGAACAAUUUAGUGAGACCAUAUCUCAAAAUAAAAAGCAAAAUGAGUCGGGCAUGGUGGCAUGUGCCUGUGACCCCAGUUAUUCAGGAGGCUGAGGCAGGAGGAACACGAAUUCAAGAUCAGCCUCAAAAAAUAAAUAAAAUGGGCUAGGCUCGUAGCUCAGUGGCAGAGCCCUCCUGGGCUCAACCUGAGUACAGCAAAACAAAAACAAAAGUGGCCCAAGGGAUGUCUCUAAGUGCAGACUCUGGGAAGCAGUUGGGGUAGUUUGUGCAGGGUAACAGGAAGACCUAGGGUGGCCUCCCGGGCAGAACCUCAGGCAAAGGAAGCGGAUAGGACCCUGAGCCCUGGGCUCGGACUUUCUCUCCAUCUGUGGAACAGGAAGAGGAGCUGAGGCCGGUGAGGCUCUUUGCCGACCUGUGCCUCCCUGACCCUAGGAGCACCUGGAGAUGGGAAGCGGGUGCACACGUGUGUGAGGAGUGGGCCACUGGGAAUUGG
Molecule: long non-coding RNA, 2212 nt
Filed under: Marmota monax (woodchuck)
Lineage: Eukaryota; Metazoa; Chordata; Mammalia; Rodentia; Sciuridae
Source: RNAcentral